RNAcentral lists this ribosomal RNA (433 nucleotides) under Clostridioides difficile. RNAcentral's name for it is "partial 23S ribosomal RNA". It matches the Rfam family "Bacterial large subunit ribosomal RNA", at positions 398 to 832 of the family's 2925-position model. Lineage: Bacteria; Bacillati; Bacillota; Clostridia; Peptostreptococcales; Peptostreptococcaceae. The record is from RNAcentral.
AGAUAUGAUCCAGAGUACCACGGGACACGUGAAACCCUGUGGGAAGCAGGAGGGACCACCCUCCAAGGCUAAAUACUACCUAGUGACCGAUAGCGUAUAGUACCGUGAGGGAAAGGUGAAAAGAACCCCGGGAGGGGAGUGAAAUAGAACCUGAAACCCUGCACUUACAAGCUGUGGAAGCACAUUUCUUGUGUGACCGCGUACUUUUUGUAGAACGGGCCAACGAGUUACGUUAAGUAGCAAGGUUAAGCACUUAAGGUGUGGAGCCGUAGCGAAAGCGAGUUUUAACUGAGCGUUCAGUUACUGGACGUAGACCCGAAACCGGGCGACCUACCCAUGAGCAGGAUGAAGCGAAAGUAAAAUUUCGUGGAGGUCCGAACCCACGAGCGUUGAAAAGCUCGGGGAUGACUUGUGGGUAGCGGUGAAAUUCCAA